Molecule: ribosomal RNA, 433 nt
Filed under: uncultured bacterium
Lineage: Bacteria
Description: partial 16S ribosomal RNA
Rfam family: Bacterial small subunit ribosomal RNA
Source: RNAcentral
AACGAACGCUGGCGGCAUGCCUAACACAUGCAAGUCGAACGAGACCUUCGGGUCUAGUGGCGCACGGGUGCGUAACGCGUGGGAACCUGCCCUUAGGUUCGGAAUAACUCCCCGAAAGGGGUGCUAAUACCGGAUAAUGUCUUCGGACCAAAGAUUUAUCGCCUUUGGAUGGGCCCGCGUCGGAUUAGCUAGUUGGUAGGGUAAAAGCCUACCAAGGCGACGAUCCAUAGCUGGUCUGAGAGGAUGAUCAGCCACACUGGGACUGAGACACGGCCCAGACUCCUACGGGAGGCAGCAGUGGGGAAUAUUGGACAAUGGGCGAAAGCCUGAUCCAGCAAUGCCGCGUGAGUGAUGAAGGCCUUAGGGUUGUAAAGCUCUUUUAACCGGGAUGAUAAUGACAGUACCGGGAGAAUAAGCUCCGGCUAACUCCGUG